UUCGUCCAAUUGAAACAGAGAACAGUGGCGGACGGGUGAGUAACGCGUGAGGAACCUGCCUUUCAGAGGGGGACAACAGUUGGAAACGACUGCUAAUACCGCAUGACACAUAGGUGUCGCAUGGCACUUAUGUCAAAGAUUUAUCGCUGAAAGAUGGCCUCGCGUCUGAUUAGAUAGUUGGCGGGGUAACGGCCCACCAAGUCGACGAUCAGUAGCCGGACUGAGAGGUUGACCGGCCACAUUGGGACUGAGAUACGGCCCAGACUCC
RNAcentral lists this ribosomal RNA (268 nucleotides) under uncultured Oscillibacter sp. RNAcentral's name for it is "partial 16S ribosomal RNA". It matches the Rfam family "Bacterial small subunit ribosomal RNA", at positions 74 to 339 of the family's 1533-position model. Lineage: Bacteria; Bacillati; Bacillota; Clostridia; Eubacteriales; Oscillospiraceae. The record is from RNAcentral.